RNAcentral lists this small nuclear RNA (107 nucleotides) under Mustela putorius furo (domestic ferret). The record is from RNAcentral. Lineage: Eukaryota; Metazoa; Chordata; Mammalia; Carnivora; Mustelidae.
GUUCUGCCUCCCACAGCACGUACACUAAAUUGGAACAAUGCAGAGAAGAUUAGAUUAUGCCUCUGCACAAGGAGGACAUGCAGAUUCGUGAAGCAGCACUAACUGUA